GUGCCAAGCACCCCGCGGUAAAUACGGGGGGGGCAAGNGUUUUUCGGAAUUAACUGGGCGUAAAGGGGUCGUAGGCGGCCAACUAAGUCGGAUGUGAAAUCCCCAGGCUUAACCUGGGAACUGCAUCCGAUACUGGAUGGCUUGNAUUCGGGAGAGGGAUGCAGAAUUCCAGGUGUAGCGGUGAAAUGAGUAGAUAUUUGGAGGAAUACCGGUGGCGAAGGCGGCAUCCUGGACCGAGAUUGACGCUGAUGAGCGAAAGCUAGGGGAGCAAACGGGAUUAGAUACCCCGGUAGUCC
RNAcentral lists this ribosomal RNA (296 nucleotides) under uncultured prokaryote. RNAcentral's name for it is "partial 16S ribosomal RNA". It matches the Rfam family "Bacterial small subunit ribosomal RNA", at positions 505 to 796 of the family's 1533-position model. The record is from RNAcentral.